UACGAAGGGGGCUAGCGUUGCUCGGAAUCACUGGGCGUAAAGGGCGCGUAGGCGGCUGAUUUAGUCGAGGGUGAAAGCCCGUGGCUCAACCACGGAAUGGCCUUCGAUACUGGUUGGCUUGAGACCGGAAGAGGACAGCGGAACUGCGAGUGUAGAGGUGAAAUUCGUAGAUAUUCGCAAGAACACCAGUGGCGAAGGCGGCUGUCUGGUCCGGUUCUGACGCUGAAGCGCGAAAGCGUGGGGAGCAAACAGG
Molecule: ribosomal RNA, 253 nt
Filed under: uncultured bacterium
Lineage: Bacteria
Description: partial 16S ribosomal RNA
Rfam family: Bacterial small subunit ribosomal RNA
Source: RNAcentral